GUAUCCUGGCUCAGGAUGAACGCUGGCGGCGUGCUCAACACAUGCAAGUCGAGCGAAGUCACGUUUUUUAGUAACGUACGUUCGGAGGGGAAGGAGGAGGGUGGACGUUAGCGGCGGACGGGUGAGUAACGCGUGGGCAACCUGCCUUACACAGGGGGAUAACAAUUAGAAAUGAUUGCUAAUACCGCAUAAGACCACGGUACUGCAUGGUACAGUGGUAAAAACUGAGGUGGUGUAAGAUGGGCCCGCGUCUGAUUAGGUAGUUGGUGGGGUAGAAGCCUACCAAGCCGACGAUCAGUAGCCGACCUGAGAGGGCGACCGGCCACAUUGGGACUGAGACACGGCCCAAACUCCUACGGGAGGCAGCAGUGGGGAAUAUUGCACAAUGGGGGAAACCCUGAUGCAGCGACGCCGCGUGAGUGAGGAAGUAUUUCGGUAUGUAAAGCUCCAUCAGCAGGGAAGAAAAUGACGGUACCUGACUAAGAAGCCCCGGCUAACUACGUG
RNAcentral lists this ribosomal RNA (504 nucleotides) under uncultured Lachnospiraceae bacterium. RNAcentral's name for it is "bacterial SSU rRNA". It matches the Rfam family "Bacterial small subunit ribosomal RNA", at positions 14 to 507 of the family's 1533-position model. Lineage: Bacteria; Bacillati; Bacillota; Clostridia; Lachnospirales; Lachnospiraceae. The record is from RNAcentral.